Molecule: ribosomal RNA, 253 nt
Filed under: uncultured bacterium
Lineage: Bacteria
Description: partial 16S ribosomal RNA
Rfam family: Bacterial small subunit ribosomal RNA
Source: RNAcentral
UACAGAGGUGGCAAGCGUUGUUCGGAAUUACUGGGCGUAAAGGGCGCGUAGGCGGCCAUCUAAGUCAGACGUGAAAUCCCCCGGCUUAACCUGGGAACUGCGUCUGAUACUGGAAGGCUCGAGUUUGGGAGAGGGAUGUGGAAUUCCAGGUGUAGCGGUGAAAUGCGUAGGUAUCUGGAGGAACACCGGUGGCGAAGGCGGCUCACUGGCCCGAUACUGACGCUGAGGUGCGAAAGCGUGGGGAGCAAACAGG